UUUCUGGUUUUAGAUCACUGGUUUUACACUACAAUUUGCGAAAAGGCUGCAAGUAAACCUCCUUGUGAAGCCUGCACCAAAAAUUGAAGCUUUAUCAAAAGUUCAAAAACCUUAUAUUUUUCCUCUUCUUUGGCUAAAUGAGUCUGCUGUUAUCGGGGAUGCAAAAGCAGAAAUGUUCAGAAAAAAAGUCACUGGUCGGGUCCAGAUGCUGAGUGUGCUGCAGAUGGUGUUAAUGAUUGCAGGUUCUGUGCUGUUCCUCGCAUUCAUGGGUUCCUAUUUCAUAUGCAGAUCAAAGAAAUUAAAAUAAGUAACAAAAGACUUCAGAGGUAGGCAAUGUUUAAUGGAAAUUUCAGCCAAGCAACACGUUAAAAUUCAGAGACAAAAGAUACGAUGCAAGGCACAGUCAGUCUACAUGCUAUGGAAUUCAACAUGCUUUUCCAUUUUGAGAAGACCAACUCACUAACCCGAAUAAGCUGAUGUUUCCAAAGGUCCACACUUCUGACAUCACUAAAGAGGCCACCAUGGAAACUAGGCUUUCAAAUGACUUUGAUUAUUUGAACCUUGCUACAUAUUUUAAAUGACAUUCAAGCAGACUGAAGUUGAGAUGCAGCUGGAUUUUAGUCCACCUUCUGCCAUUUAUGCAACUUGCUACUUUUUUUCUUCUGGGAUUUGCAAGACAAAUGAAAGCCAUUUGCUGAUGUUCUGUCUCUGAGCACAGGCUGGGAAUGACAACACCUUUGAGCUCAUGCUGUGCUCUGGAUGUUCCCAUUGCAAUGUUUCUUUCUGUUCCUUCAAGGAAUGGAAGCUGCUGCAAUAGAACUGCUCUCUGUCCUUUAUUCAGGGAUGUGAAUCGCAUUGAAUGUGAAGUUUAUUUUGAAAAUUACUAACUGUAAUACAUGGAGUUAAUAAAAGACUUACUAAAA
Non-coding RNA from Pelecanus crispus (Dalmatian pelican), 923 nucleotides. The record is from RefSeq and is a predicted model, not a curated record. NCBI's taxonomy places the organism in Eukaryota, Metazoa, Chordata, Aves, Pelecaniformes, Pelecanidae.